This 426-nucleotide ribosomal RNA is filed under the name uncultured bacterium. Its description in RNAcentral is "partial 16S ribosomal RNA". It matches the Rfam family "Bacterial small subunit ribosomal RNA", at positions 354 to 796 of the family's 1533-position model. The record is from RNAcentral.
GUGAGGAAUUUUCCGCAAUGGGCGAAAGCCUGACGGAGCAAUGCCGCGUGAAGGAUGAAGGCCUAUGGGUUGUAAACUUCUUUUCUCAGAAAAGAAUUAUGACGGUAUCUGAGGAAUAAGCAUCGGCUAACUCUGUGCCAGCAGCCGCGGUAAGACAGUGGAUGCAAGCGUUAGCCGGAAUGAUUGGGCGUAAAGCGUCUGUAGGUUGUUUAAAAAGUAUUCUGUCAAAGAUUAGGGCUUAACCCUAGAUAGGCAGAAUAAACUUUUAAGCUAGAGGUUGGUAGAGGCAGAGGGAAUUCCCGGAGGAGCGGUGAACUGCGUAGAUAUCGGCAGGAACACCAAAGGCGAAGGCACUCUGCUGGGCCAAUAAUAACACUGAGAGACGUAAGCGAGGGGAGCAAAUGAGAUUAGAAACCCGAGUAGUCC